CGCAUAAUGAAUCGCUUGUUACAUGAGAGACCUUGGUCGUUUCGAUUUGGACAAUACUAUCUACACGUAGAAAGAAUUUGGUAGGAGAGGGAGAGCGAGAGAGAGAGAGAUGGUGUUCAACAGCCCGCUGGUGGUGGAGGUAGCAAAUAUAUCGGCGAAUGUGUGCCAAUACAUAGCGUGUAACCCAGAGAGGCUGAGCAGCGAUCACGUGCUCCGUCUCCUCUUCUGCUUCCCUCUCCAACAGUUUCGCCGCCUCCUGCUCCGUCUCUCCGCCUUUUUCUGCUUCCCUCCUCCCGACCCACACCUCUCCUCCUUUUCCUCCUCCUCUUCUUCCUCCUCCUCCGAUCCAUCCGAUUCCGAUAACGAUCCCCACUCCGAUUGAUUGAUUCAUCACGACAAAUGCAUAGGCACGCGCUCUGUAUAUUUGCUAUGUCUUCCAAGUGAUUAAGAAGCUCAUGGUACUUACAGUCAGCAUCAGCACGCAAAUUAAAGUCACAUUGCCCACAAGUGGGAACGUUUCUUGCCCAAGUGCUUGAGCGUGGCUGUGGACUGUGGGGAGGUAGUGUUACAUUCACAGAAAAAUUUUGUUGUUGCAACUUUUCUAUGUAAUUGUAAAUGUGUUUGUGGAAGAAAAAUUCCAGGCCAUUGACCCCAAAAAUUCGUGGUCAACAAUCAAUGUGUUUGUGAAGUUCAAAAAGAAUACCAUUACCUUUGUUGCAGCUUUGGACAAAA
Rhododendron vialii is the source of this 732-nucleotide long non-coding RNA. RefSeq lists it as uncharacterized. The record is from RefSeq and is a predicted model, not a curated record. NCBI's taxonomy places the organism in Eukaryota, Viridiplantae, Streptophyta, Magnoliopsida, Ericales, Ericaceae. The transcript has 2 exons.